AGCCUUCAUGAGACUCAAAGAAGAAUAAACACAUCAAGCCAAACAACCCAAUUUAUAAACAAAGAAUCCUUUGCUGAAACCACUCACUGCUAUGGAUUAUUAAAAGUCAUGCAUAUCCUUGAGAAAAAAAAAAUGGAAGAGCUAACAUGAAUACAAGUAAUCACACACACAAGCUUUAGCAACUGUGUGACAUGACUUCCUGGCAGUCACUGAGAAAGCAACAUGCAGAAAUGGCAUUUAAAUUGAAACACAGAAUAUUGGUCAUUUGUGCACGUGCAUUAAAUGCACAGGAGUCUGCAUGUGGGAUGACUGGCCCCAUUCACACAGAC
Molecule: long non-coding RNA, 329 nt
Organism: Varanus komodoensis (Komodo dragon)
Lineage: Eukaryota; Metazoa; Chordata; Lepidosauria; Squamata; Varanidae
Exons: 3
Source: RefSeq, a predicted model, not a curated record